AGGGUCUCCUCGUCUAUGUCAAUUGAAGGGUCUAUGGCCUUUGAGAAAGUGUCCUUGUUAAUGUGCAUUCUGCGGAACCAUGAUACAAGGUGCAAGCUUUCUUCUGGCUGGCUCUCGUCGAUUGCUUUUCUACCAGAUAUCAUCUCCAUGAGAAUCACCCCAAAGCUAUAAACGUCGACCUUGGUCGUAACUCGUCCAGUUACUGCAUAUUCAGGGGCAAGAUAGCCAAAUGUUCCUGCAAGUCUCGUUUCAAUUGACGCUUUCCCUUCAGGAGCAAGACGAACCAACCCAAAGUCAGCUACUUUAGCCCGCAAAUCAUCUCCGAGAAGAAUGUUUGAUGGCU
RNAcentral lists this unclassified non-coding RNA (343 nucleotides) under Hevea brasiliensis (rubber tree). Lineage: Eukaryota; Viridiplantae; Streptophyta; Magnoliopsida; Malpighiales; Euphorbiaceae. The record is from RNAcentral.